Molecule: ribosomal RNA, 429 nt
Filed under: Verrucomicrobiota bacterium
Lineage: Bacteria; Pseudomonadati; Verrucomicrobiota
Description: Verrucomicrobia bacterium partial 16S ribosomal RNA
Rfam family: Bacterial small subunit ribosomal RNA
Source: RNAcentral
UAGGGAAUCUUCGGCAAUGGGGGGAACCCUGACCGAGCAACGCCGCGUGAGUGAAGAAGGUUUUCGGAUCGUAAAGCUCUGUUGUUAAGGAAGAACGAGUGUGAGAAUGGAAAGUUCAUGCUGUGACGGUACUUAACCAGAAAGGGACGGCUAACUACGUGCCAGCAGCCGCGGUAAUACGUAGGUCCCGAGCGUUGUCCGGAUUUAUUGGGCGUAAAGCGAGCGCAGGCGGUUAGAAAAGUCUGAAGUGAAAGGCAGUGGCUCAACCAUUGUAGGCUUUGGAAACUGUUUAACUUGAGUGCAGAAGGGGAGAGUGGAAUUCCAUGUGUAGCGGUGAAAUGCGUAGAUAUUAAAAAGAAUACCGGUGGCGAAGGCGACUUACUGGGCUCAUUCUGACGCUGAGGAACGAAAGCGUGGGUAGCAAACAGG